UGUGGGAUGUGGGAUGUGGGCUGUGGUAUAGGUGCCGCCAGUUGAUAACCCCCAGC
This 56-nucleotide microRNA precursor is filed under the name Drosophila yakuba. RNAcentral's name for it is "Dya-Mir-966_pre stem-loop". The record is from RNAcentral. Lineage: Eukaryota; Metazoa; Arthropoda; Insecta; Diptera; Drosophilidae.